RNAcentral lists this ribosomal RNA (315 nucleotides) under uncultured bacterium. RNAcentral describes it as "bacterial SSU rRNA". It matches the Rfam family "Bacterial small subunit ribosomal RNA", at positions 28 to 334 of the family's 1533-position model. The record is from RNAcentral.
GAUAAACGCUGGCGGCGCACAUAAGACAUGCAAGUCGAACGGACUUAACCAUUAGUUUACUAUUGGAGCGGUUAGUGGCGGACUAGUGAGUAACACGUAAGCAACCUGCCUAUCAGAGGGGGAACAACAGUUAGAAAUGACUGCUAAUACCGCAUAUGCCUUAGUAACACAUGUUACAAAAGGGAAAGGAGCAAUCCGCUGAUAGAUGGGCUUGCGUCUGAUUAGCUAGAUGGCGGGGUAACGGCCCACCAUGGCGACGAUCGGUAGCCGGACUGAGAGGUUGAUCGGCCACAUUGGGACUGAGACACGGCCCAG